RNAcentral lists this ribosomal RNA (218 nucleotides) under uncultured bacterium. Its description in RNAcentral is "partial 16S ribosomal RNA". It matches the Rfam family "Bacterial small subunit ribosomal RNA", at positions 30 to 248 of the family's 1533-position model. The record is from RNAcentral.
AUUGAACGCUGGCGGCAUGCCUUACACAUGCAAGUCGAGCGGCAGCGCGGGGGCAACCCUCGCGGCGAGCGGCGGACGGGUGAGUAAUACAUCGGAACGUGUCCUUUUGUGGGGAGUAACCAGUCGAAAGACUGGCUAAUACCGCAUGAGAUCUCACGAUGAAAGCGAGGGACCGCAAGGCCUCGCGCGAUUGGAGCGGCCGAUGUCGGAUUAGCUAG